UUUUUUCUUUGCUCUUGACACCUUCCAUCCUUUUGGAAAAAAUCCCCCUUUUUUCAAGCUGUCUUGUAACUUUUCAUGAAAUGCUUAGGCUGAUCCAUGUUUCAUUUCCAUCCACAGCCAUUAGCUAGUAAUUACUUGCUUCUUGAUAUGCCUUACAUCUUGGAUUGAGUUUUGCAGAAUAGGACUUAUUCCAGUCUCCCUAGGAUAUUGUCUUCUGUAUCACUGAGGAGACCUAUCUUCAUGCCAGCACAACUGAGAUCUGGAAUCUUAUCCUAGCUCCCAUAUGCAUUGGAAUCCCCAGCUAGGAGUUGUGCUUACGGCAGAGAGCAUUAAUGACAGAGGAGUAGACACAGUGAGCCAAAAUGCUGGCAUAAGGGGUUGAUUUUUUAAAAAAUAUUUGUGAGCAACAAACUGAGGGUAUUUUUGUUAAUUGUGUUGUAGACUUUCAUUUUUCCCUCUUAUAGCAUAUUUUGAUUAAAUAGAAAUGCAAUGCUAGCCUAAGGUAAAUUGGGAAAUCAGUCCUUUGGAUGCAAUUGCUUGUUGUUUUUCUUUCCAUUCCUGAUGAAGAACAUUUUGAUGUCACUAAAAUUCCUAGUGCCUGAUGACUGAAAUUCCAUCAUGCAGCAUAACUUAAAAAGUACAAAUCAAACUCUUGAAAGAUGUAAUCUGCUUCUUCAGUCACCAGUGACCAAGUAAUGACACCUGUAUGUGGGGAGGUAGUGGAGUCGUGUACUGAGGGAAGGAAAUCUCUUUUAUCUUCAGAAAUGUUACCAUUAGAAAUUAGAGGUAAUGUUUUAGGCAUGGUAUCUUGCAUUAUGAUUUAGGCAUGAUAUCUCGCAUCUUGUAAUUCAGGAAGCCUAAAAACUCAGCACAAGCAAAUUUUAAGAAGGAACAGGUUUUGUUUCAAGAAAGCUUUUAGCCUAUAAUGGUACGAACAUGGUGCAACCCAUUGCUGUGAAUGUGUUUGGAUAUCCUGUGGCUAGGGAGCUGCUGCUCUUCCAUCACCUUCCUCACUCCCAGUUUGUGAGCCCAUCUGUUGGGAAAGAUAUCUCUCAGCAUGUCACUCAACAGUGUUUUGCAAACUGGAAGGCAGGAGGGGGGCAGAGAGGGAAGAGUGAGGGUACAUCAGCAUAUGUGGACCAAGGGGUAAGUAUUUAUGGAGCUUCUGAGAACACAGAUGAAGAUAGGGCUGGGAGAAGGACACUGAGGUAGCACAGAGCCUGGAGUGCCAUGAGGAGCUGAGAGUUCAGGAUGAAGUACUAGGCAAGAUGCACCUCCCAGGGAAAGGUCCUGUGCUUUCAUAACUUCUUCAUCUCUGGCUUGUGCAUUGGGUGGUGUUAGGGGACACCUGAGGAAUGGGAGGUGGUGUGGGAUUUCUGGAAGGCUGUUAGACUGAGAACCUGAAGUCUAAGGAAAACCAUCUUUUUAAAGAAGAGGGAAGAGGAGUGGCUCUCAUUAGUUGUGUUUUAGGCCACUGGUGAUCCCACUGCUGCUGAGUUGGAACCACAGGAUUACCAGCUGCAUGUUUUUAAUAGUUCAGAGUCAUCCUGGUUUCUGUUUCUGUCAUUUUGCACUGAGUGACUACAUGAAAUCCCUAUUCCCAGUCAUGUUGGAAGCCAAUUCCUGCGACCUCAAACACAAUCAGAAUCGUGUUAAGUCAGUUACCAUGCUAAGAUGUUACCAACUUGUCUUUCUCUUGCUUGUAAACUAGACAAAAAGAGAUUUGGGAGUCAUUUGUGGUGAUGUAAGAUCAGUUACCUUCAGUGUCAUUAGUGAAUCUUCCUGUACUCAGAUCAGGUAUAGUCAGAGUUCUUAGUUAUACUUGUAAUUGGCAUCACAUUCCUCUUUGUAAUAUUUUUUACUUUUAUAUAUAAGUGUAUCUAAAGUGAAAAAGCUUUUUAAACUACAUGUUUGUGAAUAACAUUUGUCUCCUUCAAAUCACCAUUUGCCCCUCACCUCCAUUCUGAGGAUGUAAAUUGAAUUUUCAGUGUCUAUGGUUCUGGUGUCCACUUAGCAAUGUAGACUUUCAGAUUCUUUUCUCGUGGGAAGACAAAGCUAUCAAAUUCCUGAUAGAACAUUAGUAGUUCUGGAAACAACAAAUGCACGUUUGUAAAAUCCUGAAAGAUAAUUAAUUUUUCUAGCAGAUAUUGCUGGUUCAAAUUCUAGUGAUGCAAGAAAGUGGUAAUGUGCAGAUGCUUAAAACUGUAGAUUGGAUAGAAGGAAGUAAAAACAUAAGCAUAUAACAUAAAAAGUGAAAAAAAAAAAAGGAUUUUUCAAAUUUAUUAUUAGUCACUGGCUUUCCUACUCCAUUGGAAGGAUAUUUCUUGAACUGAAUGGGAUGUUGAAGACAUACUUAAACAUGCAAUUUUGGGGAAAUUUUCAACAAAUAGUAUUAAUAAUAUCAAGGAGUGAAAAUUUCAUUUGUGCUGUUGAGAGUCAUAUGAUUUGAGAUUUCAACCUAUAGAUAAAGAUUAUUUCAUUCCUAAGGCAAGAAAAAUGGGUAUUUUGCAUAGAUGAGAUGUCAGACCAUUAAUAUUGCUGAAUACCCCUUUUUACUCAGUAAUAGAUUUCAGUGAUAAGAAUAUUUGAAAAUACCUUUUUAGGAUAAAAGAUCACACUGGAAGUGUCACUUCCAGCUUCUUUGCCAAGUAUUCUCACGGUUGAACUAGAAAAUUUUCCUUUUUAGUCUGCUCUCAGUGAUGUGAUAGGGUGCAAUUACCUUACCACAGUAUAAUAUGUUCAGCUGACACCUGCUGAGCUCACCCCAUUUGCUGAGUGAAAAAUGUUGACCUGAAUCAUCUCCACUGAAAGUUACCUUCUGGUUGGGAUAGAAAAUUAUGAGUAGUGCUCAUCAUUGGUUACAACAAGUCAAGGAGCAGGUCAGAACUCAUUAAGCCUAUCACACUGCUGAAUGUAGUACCCCUAAGUUAUCACACAGACUUAAACAGGCAGAUGGUAGAGAUCUAGCUUGUGAAAGAGCCCUAAAAUGAGUAGAUAUGCAGCUUAAUCUUUGAGCUGUAAUACGGUGCUGGAUUCAGCUGGCUGUAGAUUUCUUGUAAAGAUCUUGAAUCACACUGCAAGCACACUUUUAGGCUAGGGUGAUAACCUUAGUGAUAGUUACUGUAUAAAAGCAGAGAACAAGCUCUGGUAUGCUGGUGAAUUGGGAACUAGACCUUUCUCUGCCACUCAUUUGCAUUGCUGACUUGGCCAAAUCUGCUUGAAUGUCUCUGCUUCAUUUUCCUUAUUCAGAAUAUAAGAUAAAUAUAUCCUGAAAAGUGCAUUUCCAUGCUUACUUACAAUACACUUUUUUUUGUAAAGCACUUGGAAGAUGAAAAUCUGUUCAAGAAAAACUGUGUGGCCUUGACUCUCUUGUUCCUCCUUGAUAUGCUGUCAGGCACCUAAUGAGAGAGCUCUUGACUCAGCAGAAAGUGUGCCCUCACUUCUUAAGCUUCCAGACUUCUGUAUUGCUGAAUCACACCAGCAUAACAGUGCAAUAAAUUAUAUUGUCCAUUUCUUAGCCGGCAGGGGAGGGGGGAAUGGACUCCAGCUUACACCAACAGUUUCAUGGUAAAACCAGAAUUAUGCUAGAGUAUCCACAUGUGCAACUGUGCUCAGUUUGGGAUCCUGUUGGUAACUUUCAGAGUAGGAGCCUAAUUGCUUCUGUAUCACUUUGUUCCAUGAAUGUGAAGCUCAUGUGAAUACUGUAUUACCUGUGGCAAUGCAGACAGUGCUUCAUUAAUAAUACAAGAACGCUCUGGGUUCUCUGCUCUCGAGGAGAGAAGGAGCAGCGUGAGUACACGGCCAAAUUAUUUCAGGAGUGAAGGUGCUUGUUUAGGUGUGGCAAAAGACUUGCAGAAACUCACUGUUUCAGAGAUUAUCAAAAAUGCUGGACAAAGGAGAGAGCUAGCAACUGUCACCCCAGCUGGAGAGCAGGAUAAGUGAAUGUGGGGCUGCUGCUCUGUCCUGUUGUGGCUGUGCAGAGCUGUGUGCCAGGAUGGGCAUGUCACAGCAGGGCACACCGGGCACAUCACAGCACAGUUCUGGAAGGAGCCAUGGAGUGCAGGCUGACAAUGAGCUUGUGGAGAUGGGGACACAAAAUUCAGAUGCUGUGGAGAGCUGUUGGCUCCUUGAAACUCAACUUCUCCGACCUCAGAUGAAUCCAGAAACUAUGUCACCCUGCAAGAAAGAAUGGAGCUCAGAGGCUUCAGAUGGGGAAUUUGGAGAGGCAUCUUCUUCACAUCUGUGGAAAACUUCUCAUGAGAGGACAAAAGGAUAACAUUUUCUCCAAAAUUUUCAAGAGCACUAAACCAAGAUUUCCAUAAAAUGAACCAGGGUGAGGGGGGUGGGGGGGUGGAAUGCCUGCUUGAAGAAACAUAGAAGAACUGCAGAGGGACACAGGAAUGUGGAUGAAGUCCUUAAGGAUCUCUAGAGAGGGCAAAUUUAGGUUCAGCAAAGCUUUAUGAGACAAAACAUCCAUGAGGUGUAUACUCCUACAGCUCAGCUGUUCAGCCCAUUAUCCUCUUGGGGCUUUCCCUGUACUUGUACCUGCUGGCCAACUGACUGGUGUAGCAUGCCACCAAAAAGAAAAAAAAAAAUUCUGCACAUCCCCAGAGGAAAAUCACACUAGUGAUGAGUGUUUGUAUUCUUAUCUCAGAAUUGGGUAGAAACAAGAAGAAAUUUCACACAAUUUUCUAGCCUGAUAGCCUUUAGGAACAGUACAUGGAAAAUCUAUUCAUCUGCUGGUUUGCAUACCUCUAGAGGAUUCUCUCACUUCUACGUCUAAUUUUUGGACUACUCUUGGCCAGUUUCAGGGAAAAAAUAAUAGAUUAAUAGUAAUCUGAAAGCCUAUGAAGUUGUUACAAUGUUUGGGAAGAGAGGUGACCCAGCAGGUGAUAGAUUCCAAAUAGGAAAGAAGCCUUUAAGAGAUCCAGACCAGGAAGAUGGCUGUAGCUGAAGUUUAAACCUGUUUUUUAUGCAAAAGUAAAGAGAACACAAGACAUGAAAUUAUAGGAGGAAAGUAUGAUCUGUUUUUGUGAUACUCACAGGCCAGCUUCUUAAGUGACUGUACGCAAGAACUGUUUUCACCACUACUCAAUAAAGUUGUUAUAUAUGGUGUGUGCAUUGCUUUGUCUUGUACAACAAACAAAACACCCAGAUUUGUUACUUUGUCAUGAGGGAAAUAAAGUGGGCUAACCAUUAAUUUAAAAUGGGUAUGUAGCCCCAGCACUGUUUGUUUCAUGAAGUUGUACAGAAUGAACAUAAGAAAACCACCUGA
Oenanthe melanoleuca is the source of this 5275-nucleotide long non-coding RNA. RefSeq lists it as uncharacterized. NCBI's taxonomy places the organism in Eukaryota, Metazoa, Chordata, Aves, Passeriformes, Muscicapidae. The record is from RefSeq and is a predicted model, not a curated record. The transcript has 2 exons.